GGUACCUUGUGGUAUGAACAUAAUAAAUUAUUGUGUUACUUCAUUACGUUUAGCGUGUAUGUUUACAUUGAGUAUCUGUCAUAUGUGGAGAUGUUGUUAUUGUUGUCUGGAGUGUGAAUCAUUGUAUGUUAUAUUGAAGUAUCGGUAAUAAAGUGUAUACAAAUAAUGAAUACAGUUGUUGAAUAAUCAUUACAGAGAAAGAUUCUCACAUUGGCGACGAGAACGGUGAACAGUGCAUGUGAAAUAAGUUUAAUUUCGGUUCGGGAAGUGUUGUCUUUGGAAAAAGAAAGAGAUGAGUGGUGUGUGUGGUGCAUGCAGAGUGGUGAUGACCUUCAGGUGAUGACUUGUGAUUGAAUUUCAACAUUGGAAUCAAAAAGGUACAACCAUAAGUAACAGCCAAGUAAUUUACCAAAAUGCCGAGCAGAGAUGGAUGACCAAAUGGAUGACUGUACUACUAAUUCUGAUGUGAGACUGAAGCGAGACGUUCAUAAACUGAGGAGACUAUAAGCGAAAACAACGUGGAGUAACCUUGCUGCGGAUCUGGAGAAAAAACGAGAUGUGGUACCUUGUGGUAUGAACAUAAUAAAUUAUUGUGUUACUUCAUUACGUUUAGCGUGUAUGUUUACAUUGAGUAUCUGUCAUAUGUGGAGAUGUUGUUAUUGUUGUCUGGAGUGUGAAUCAUUGUAUGUAAUAUUGAAGUAUCGGUAAUAAAGUGUAUACAAAUAAUGAA
Aedes albopictus (Asian tiger mosquito) is the source of this 730-nucleotide long non-coding RNA. RefSeq lists it as uncharacterized. The transcript is spliced from 2 exons. Lineage: Eukaryota; Metazoa; Arthropoda; Insecta; Diptera; Culicidae. The record is from RefSeq and is a predicted model, not a curated record.